Molecule: long non-coding RNA, 1205 nt
Filed under: Theobroma cacao (cacao)
Lineage: Eukaryota; Viridiplantae; Streptophyta; Magnoliopsida; Malvales; Malvaceae
Description: long non-coding RNA (TCAC_LNC003807)
Source: RNAcentral
UUUAUCUUGGUCGGCCAAAGAGAGAAAAAGAGAAAAAAAAGAAGAACAAAAACCCUAGAGAGAAAAAUUCAAAGGGAAAUUGUUGAUUUUCAAGGAAUCAAGCCAUUAAAGGUAAAAUUUCUUAAUUCUAGCUUGUGAUCUACCUUUCCUAUACAUUAUUUUGCAUUUUCCAUGGUUGAAUCAUAAGAUAUCAUGAAGGAUAGUGUGCUGAUCAAACCUUAGAAGAGAGAAUUUGAUGAUGAAUUUAGUUAAAAAACAUGUUAUUCUAAUGUUUUUAGUUGUUUGGUGAUGUGUAAUAUGAAAAGCAAGCACGAAAAAUUCAUGUUCUUACAUCACCUUCAUUGGUCGAAUAUUCCAUGUGGAAUAUUGACGAUGAAUUUGAUUGAAUUUCAAGUGAUUUGAUUAAGAAUGAAUGUUUAUGGUGAGAUAAUCAAGCAUGAAAAAUUAUAUUGUUAGUGCACUCACCAUGGCCGAAUUUUUCAAGAGAAAAUGUGAGGAUGAUUUUGCCACAUUUCAAGUUAUUUAAAUUGUGUUUAAUGAUUUGGAGUAUUGGGAGAGAAAUGGAAUUGUUUGGAGUUGAAUUGGACGUAUUGGCCAAUUAAUCGCGUGAUAGAUCGAAAUAGGCUAAUACCAUUUUAUUUAGGUACAUAAUUGAAUUUAUAUUGAACACCGUAUUUAGAUAGUUACCAGAGUAUUUCACAUCCCAUUUCAUGCAUUAGUAUAGAGCCUGAAUUUGUUUCACAACAGUUUAGCACAAAUGUAGCAAAUUGCUUAUUGUGCAAUAUGUCUAGGUGGUGAGCAUUCUGGCAAGAGUAAAGAGGUAGUAUCUGAGGAUCAAGAAUCAGAGUAUCCCGAAUUCGAUUUCCAUUACAAUGAGUAGCUUUAUUAUCGCCUUAAUUAUCUAAAGUAUGUUUUUAUCCGAUUUUGUAAUUUUAUGGAAAAUGUGUUUAAAUGAAAUGAUUUUAUAAAUUGUUUUGAAAUUUAAUGAUGACUUGAAAAUGGAGUAAUUGGAGACUACUUGCUGUAUUGUAAAUUAUGUCUUGAAUUGAAUGGCUUAUGAUAAUGUGGGCAUGAAUGGCUGGAUCGGUAUUUGUGUUGAAAAUGUAUAAACUGUUGUUUGCCUUGAUAGGCUGGAUAAUGAUAAAAUUGUCAUGUCAUGCUGUUGAAUUUUUAUUGAAUUGGUGGGUUAUAGAUUGGUCACUACA